GACGAACGCUGGCGGCGUGCUUAACACAUGCAAGUCGAACGGAAAGGCCCUGCUUUUGUGGGGUGCUCGAGUGGCGAACGGGUGAGUAACACGUGAGUAACCUGCCCUUGACUUUGGGAUAACUUCAGGAAACUGGGGCUAAUACCGGAUAGGAGCUCCUGCUGCAUGGUGGGGGUUGGAAAGUUUCGGCGGUUGGGGAUGGACUCGCGGCUUAUCAGCUUGUUGGUUGGGUAGUGGCUUACCAAGGCUUUGACGGGUAGCCGGCCUGAGAGGGUGACCGGCCACAUUGGGACUGAGAUACGGCCCAGACUCCUACGGGAGGCAGCAGUGGGGAAUAUUGCACAAUGGGCGGAAGCCUGAUGCAGCAACGCCGCGUGCGGGAUGACGGCCUUCGGGUUGUAAACCGCUUUCGGCUGUGACGAAGCGUGAGUGACGGUAAUGGGUGAAGAAGCACCGGCUAACUACGUG
This 468-nucleotide ribosomal RNA is filed under the name uncultured bacterium. RNAcentral describes it as "partial 16S ribosomal RNA". It matches the Rfam family "Bacterial small subunit ribosomal RNA", at positions 28 to 507 of the family's 1533-position model. The record is from RNAcentral.